AUGUGUCUGCUACUGUACACAGAAAGUUCCCUCGCUGCUACUAACUCACUUAUCCCCAGCUGCUAAAGGACUGUCUGACAAAUUGAAUGUUAAAGAAAAAUAACAAUCAACUGCAGUCGAGUUAACACUUUUCUUUGUUUUUAUUUUAUAUUUGUGCAUAUACAGUAAGCUUGAACAUACCCUAGAAAAGAUAAUUGUAUUCCUGAGUCGUCAGUGGAAUACUAACAACAUGAUGCAGUAAUAGGGAAACAGCUGUCUUCCUAAUAUUGUAUGUGGCAAAAAAAAAAUGCUAUGAUAAGGAGAAAACUGGGUUCAAAAAUAUCUAUCAUUAGUAUAAUGACAUUGAUUGUUCUUAGUUGAAACUCAUUUUGUAGCAAAUUUCAGUUUUCAAAUCCAUUGAGGACUGAUGUGCUGUCAGACAUUUUGGAGUUUCUUAUAUGAAUUUACAGUUGAGUACGUUUUUCUAAACUAAGGCAUCUAUUCAUGAACACAGCUGUCACAAGUAGACACUUGUCACACUCGCACAACACACGCAGUGAUCAUUUUUCAUAUUUUUAUGGAAUUUAAGCCUUGUAUAAUUAUUUCUUUCCUGUUAGAAUUACAUCAGAACUACUUUGUCAAUGUAGGCUGAGUGAUGUGUGAAGUACAUUUUUGUAUCAAAUUAGUGUUUUAGAAACUUUGACUGUUGGCUCAUUCUGUCUGGGUCAUUGAAGACCAACUGGCCUCUUCUGAGCAAGUUUCUUCAUGCUAAUGACUUUAUCCAAUUAGCCUCUAGUCACUAUGGUAACAUAACUCUGAAGACUGUCAGGGUGAGCACUACACUUGGUGGCCAGUUUGGCCAGCAGCCCCCCUGCGCCUUCAUGGCAGCAGUACUUCAACUGUCCCAACAGACCAUCAUCACUCCCGGAUUGGAUAAAUGCUCAACAAAACAGGAACUUUUUAUUUCUUUUUAACUUUCUUAAUUUUUAUAUAUUUUUUUUUUUUUUUUUUUUUUGGCAGUAAGCUCUGUUCUCAUCCUACUUGCCAUUUCAGCAUGGCGUUGGUGUGUAAAGAUGUGCAGUGCUCUGCUUGGGUCUGUUACUACUCUACCUGCAGUACUACUGUACUGCUUGGAAAAUCAAAAGUGUUGUGUAACACUAACCUUAUCUUCAAAAAACAGGGACUUUGCCUCCAUGCAUUAAUUAUCAGUCACACUUCUGCUUUUUUAACAUUUUGAAGCAGCUUUGUGCUGUCAAAUAGCAGUUUCUGAGAUACUUGGUGUAACUAUUUUAUCCAAAGCGUCACCAUCAACUGUGAAUAAACCAUAGAUGUGGGUGUACCACUCUUUGCUUCAGCAUUGAAGAUGCCCCUUUCUCUCCUCAAUCCCACCUCACUGUGUCUCCUCCUGAGUGUGCCAUCGAUGAAGAGCUUUUCCUGCAAGCUCUGUGUGAGGAAGACUCGGAAGACGAUUAUACUGAGGCAGACCCUAUCCUAGAUGACUUGUAUUUCCGGCGAGUGCAGCAGACCCUUCAUCAGACAUCUACCAACCCCAACUAUGACCGCUUCUUACCCCAAUGUUGGACACCUGAAGAGGAGAUUCGUGUGCGCACGAUCUACCUCGGCUCCCAGAGAAGACCCUGGUAUCGUAAAAUGCAAGCCUUAAGCCAUAAAGCUUUGGGUUCUUCUGAGGAAGAGUUUGACUUCCUUUCCUGGCUUGUGACAUCUGCUACCGUACAAAACAUCUCUGCCACAUCCGGAGAGCCUCAAAAGCAUCUCUAAGAAACUCUCUCCAAGCCUGAACAUUAAUUCCUGCCCUGCAGAUCCAUACCUAACGCACACAGUCCCAAACACACACACUGUACAGACACAAGCUCUAACACACUGUCCUACUCGUUAUCUCGUUGUGUACCACAGUGGCAAAGUGCACCUGUUGUUGUUUUUGUAUUUUCAAAUCUCUAACCGAUUACCAAACUACACAAUUGUGGUAAAGACAUGCAAAUUUUGCUCUGUUUAUCAAAAAGAUGUUUUAUGAAGUUAUCAGGAAAAUGGAAUGUGCUUUGAAUUUGUAAUUUUACAUAUUGUUUUCCUAACUACUGCAUGUUGUAUUAUCUGGCACUUACUCUGGGCCUUUUGUUUAUAGUGCUGAUGAUGUGAGGACCAGAACAGCACCAUGCUGAGUGACUCAUUAGUUAAUAAUGAUUAAACGCGAUGAUUCAUGCGUUGUCAUACUUUUUAGAGCCAUAACAGAAUCAUGUUAUUUAUAACAUAUUUUGUGCCAGCACAAAUGUUUUCCAGUUUACUUCAUGUGUGAAUAUGGCUUUGGUGUGGAAAAAUAAAGUGUCAUAGUGGGUCAAUGAAAGUGACCUAAAA
Long non-coding RNA from Siniperca chuatsi (mandarin fish), 2349 nucleotides. RefSeq lists it as uncharacterized. The record is from RefSeq and is a predicted model, not a curated record. The transcript is spliced from 2 exons. Lineage: Eukaryota; Metazoa; Chordata; Actinopteri; Centrarchiformes; Sinipercidae.